This 505-nucleotide ribosomal RNA is filed under the name uncultured bacterium. RNAcentral describes it as "partial 16S ribosomal RNA". It matches the Rfam family "Bacterial small subunit ribosomal RNA", at positions 28 to 523 of the family's 1533-position model. The record is from RNAcentral.
GAUGAACGCUAGCUACAGGCUUAACACAUGCAAGUCGAGGGGUAACGGGAGGAAAGCUUGCUUUCCUUGUCGACGACCGGCGCACGGGUGAGUAACGCGUAUCCAACCUGCCCCCAACUAAGGAAUAACCUUGCGAAAGUAAGACUAAUACCUUAUAAUUUCCUCAGAUGUCAUCUGACGAGGAAUAAAGAUUUAUCGGUUGUGGAUGGGGAUGCGUCUGAUUAGCUUGUUGGCGGGGUAACGGCCCACCAAGGCAACGAUCAGUAGGGGUUCUGAGAGGAAGGUCCCCACAUUAGAACUGAGACACGGUCCAAACUCCUACGGGAGGCAGCAGUGAGGAAUAUUGGUCAAUGGGCGGAAGCCUGAACCAGCCAAGUAGCGUGCAGGAUGACGGCCCUAUGGGUUGUAAACUGCUUUUAUACAGGAAUAAAGUUAGCCACGUGUGGUUAUUUGUAGGUACUGUAUGAAUAAGGACCGGCUAAUUCCGUGCCAGCAGCCGCCGCCG